UGAGAUCACCAGGCGUAGGCGAACGAUCGUCGGCCACGCGCCACCCUUCGACGGCGACCCGAUAAUCCCGAUGUAUCGCGCGUAUACCGGCGAUACUGACUCCGGGAUAAAAGAAAGAGAGAGAGAGAGAUCGUUUUAGCGUCGUUUACUCGUUUAGCGCGGUCGCGCGACACGAAUUGGGUGGUGGCCCGUGGAGUUUAACCGCUACGCGCGCGCGCGCUCUGCUACGACGCUGCCGCACCGCCGUCGGACGAUUUUCCCCGAAGCCGAACCCGGGACUGUGACUAAAAUCGAAAUCGGUGAACGAACAGGGGCGCGUCGGGGCGCGCAUGUGCGGCGCGACGGCGUCGCACACGCCGGUCGUCGACGCAUAUUAUCCGUGCCGCGUCUCGGCCAUCCGUGCGCCGCUAACGCGUGCGCGCGCGUGCGUGCGUCCUCCCUACCUCCCCUCCAUCUCUCUCUCUUUGUCCUCCUGCCGCGCCGACGAGAUUACUAACCGACCUGACGAUGUCCGGCCCGAAAACGCCGCCACCGACACGCGCGAAUUCCGAUCGAUCGACCGGAGCGUCGGCAUUGUCGACCGACUCCAGCGCGUCGCGCUCAGAUAACUUUGAAUCAUCUCGAUCAAGAUGAGAUAAUUCUACGCGAAUCUCAGAUAGGAUAAAGAUGACUUAAUUUUAAAUUUACCUACAGACAAAAGAAGACGGUGGACGGUGUAUCGUUACAUAUUUUAUGUAGAUAACUUUUUAGGGUAAUGUCGCGGAGGAACGGAACAAUCUGGGAUAUACAAAAAUAAUAUAUUCAUAUUGCUAUUCGUCAACUUUUAAUUCUUCAAAGCGAGAACUCUUCGAAUAAUGCACUCUGAUAAAGUACAAUAAAAGUCACAGCAAUGUGUUAAUACAACUAAUCGGCUCGUCCCUUCCCACUUCCGCUUCUUCCCGCCGGCUUGCGGCACGCGGCCCGGCAGAUUCCUUGCGUAAUCAAAGCGUAUUAUCGCGAUCGGGAGACGAAACGAAACUCGACCAGUGUAUCUCGGUCUCGUUUGUGUCAAACGAUCCUCGCUCGUAUGCGUGACAAAAAGAUGUACGCGCGCGCGCUUCGUAUACGGAUAAGCAGAAACUUCGUGACGAGAGCGUCGUAUUUUUGGAACUCUCAACGUAAUUCAUGAACGCGAGCGAAUUCGCGGCAAGUGGACAUAAACGUUUCGUCUGAUGCAUCUGUAACUUACUCCGACAAUUUUCCGAAAUAACGCAAAAUGAAUAGGAUUCGUCGAGUCGCAAAGACGAAUGGUAAAGAUCACGGAAAUUAGUUGCAAAAUGCCAGAUAAUAAAAAAAUCCUUGUAUUUACUAGCCUUGUGUCUUGUGUUAUAACCAUAUCGAUUUUGUUUCUUAUUUUGUUUGUUUAAUAUCCUGCUCUUGAUAAAGAUUUUUCUUAGAGUUCUUUGCAGAGUGUUAUAUACCAACAGUUCGCUUUUAGAAAUAGAUAACGAACGAUUUCUCAGACAGAAACGCAAAUGAUCUCCGAAAUAAAUAGCGUUAGACGCAAAUACGAGGCAGGAGGAGAGAAAUAGUAAAACACUCACACGUAAUGAUUCAUCAUUUUUAAUGUAAUUUGUAUAGUAGCAUAGUAUAAUAUUAAUUAAAUUAAUUAUACAUAUUAAAUAUUAAAUAUUGUUUUUUUAUGCACUGUGUAACCGAGUAACAAUACAGACGAGACUAGUAGAAGGUGA
This 1730-nucleotide long non-coding RNA is filed under the name Monomorium pharaonis (pharaoh ant). Its description in RNAcentral is "uncharacterized LOC114255212". Lineage: Eukaryota; Metazoa; Arthropoda; Insecta; Hymenoptera; Formicidae. The record is from RNAcentral.